This 345-nucleotide ribosomal RNA is filed under the name Klebsiella sp. 140S. RNAcentral describes it as "bacterial SSU rRNA". It matches the Rfam family "Bacterial small subunit ribosomal RNA", at positions 1019 to 1364 of the family's 1533-position model. Lineage: Bacteria; Pseudomonadati; Pseudomonadota; Gammaproteobacteria; Enterobacterales; Enterobacteriaceae. The record is from RNAcentral.
UUCGGGAACUGUGAGACAGGUGCUGCAUGGCUGUCGUCAGCUCGUGUUGUGAAAUGUUGGGUUAAGUCCCGCAACGAGCGCAACCCUUAUCCUUUGUUGCCAGCGGUUAGGCCGGGAACUCAAAGGAGACUGCCAGUGAUAAACUGGAGGAAGGUGGGGAUGACGUCAAGUCAUCAUGGCCCUUACGACCAGGGCUACACACGUGCUACAAUGGCAUAUACAAAGAGAAGCGACCUCGCGAGAGCAAGCGGACCUCAUAAAGUAUGUCGUAGUCCGGAUUGGAGUCUGCAACUCGACUCCAUGAAGUCGGAAUCGCUAGUAAUCGUAGAUCAGAAUGCUACGGUG